RNAcentral lists this ribosomal RNA (219 nucleotides) under uncultured bacterium. RNAcentral's name for it is "partial 16S ribosomal RNA". It matches the Rfam family "Bacterial small subunit ribosomal RNA", at positions 1284 to 1500 of the family's 1533-position model. The record is from RNAcentral.
AGUCUCAGUUCAGAUUGCAGGCUGCAACUCGCCUGCAUGAAGAUGGAAUUGCUAGUAAUCGCGGAUCAGAAUGCCGCGGUGAAUACGUUCCCGGGCCUUGUACACACCGCCCGUCACACCAUGAGAGUUGGCAAUACCCAACGUACGUGAUCUAACCCGCAAGGGAGGAAGCGUCCUAAGGUAGGGUCAGCGAUUGGGGUGAAGUCGUAACAAGGUAUC